AUGAAACCCUCUAAGCAAAACCCAUUUCUGCCAUUACAGGUAAGAGUUGACAUUAGUGAGUAGGCACAUCUAUUAGUUGAAGGAGAUCUAGGGCUUAUGAGGACAACGCCACACCUCUAGCUUCAUGAGCAGCCAUUUUUAGGAGUGUUGGGUGACCAAUCACUCUAUCACAGCUGUCAUAUUAGUCUAUAGACCAACACAACAGUGUCAAGGAGCACUAAAACAUUGGCAGCAAACUAGGGCAACGGUAGGUUAAUCACUUCGCCAGCACCAGACCAAAACCAGGGUAUCACGAAACUACUAGAAUAAGUCUACAGACAUCCGAAAAAACAGAUUUGGGUUCUUCCGUUCCCCAGAAAGGCAUCCUCCCUGCAUUACUAAACAUUUGAUCAGGAAGGAGUGGUGCGAUUACACCCAGGUCUGGCUUGAUAGGUGACACCACCCUUUCCAAAAUGCACACAAACUAUUUGUUCAUUAAACUGAAGGAUUUCAUAGUCUUAUCAUUGCUGUUUAAAGCCAUACUUUGGCAACAGUUGAAGGAAAGCUUACGAAUCAGCAACACAAAGUAAUGCAGAUAUUUACACACUGGCUAGUUCCAACAAUUGGCAGAUGCAAUUCAACUGCAAAUAGAUUGAUUUGCAGAGCAAUGGAUCGUUUUUCAAAUUCAAUGUGCCACCAUCCCCUAAUCAUGAUUCUGCGUUAUUUCAAGUUUUGUCCUCUGUUUUCCUAGAUCUUCAUUGUCCUAGGAUAGAAAAAAGUCCUGAAUUUUACUCAUGAGAUGUUGGAGAUUAGUAAUGGUUCAGAACUAUUGUUGUAAGUUGAACUUGUAACCAUAUAGCUCUCCUCUAAUCUUGAAACUGGUUGAUAUAACUGGUAUAUUGUGGGUGUUCUCCUUUCAUUAUAUGGGAAAUUUUUCA
Cryptomeria japonica (Japanese cedar) is the source of this 917-nucleotide long non-coding RNA. RefSeq lists it as uncharacterized. The record is from RefSeq and is a predicted model, not a curated record. The transcript is spliced from 2 exons. NCBI's taxonomy places the organism in Eukaryota, Viridiplantae, Streptophyta, Pinopsida, Cupressales, Cupressaceae.